RNAcentral lists this ribosomal RNA (434 nucleotides) under uncultured bacterium. RNAcentral describes it as "partial 16S ribosomal RNA". It matches the Rfam family "Bacterial small subunit ribosomal RNA", at positions 29 to 507 of the family's 1533-position model. The record is from RNAcentral.
AGCGAACGCUGGCGGCAGGCCUAACACAUGCAAGUCGAACGAACCUUUCGGGGUUAGUGGCGGACGGGUGAGUAACACGUGGGAACGUGCCUUUAGGUUCGGAAUAACUCAGGGAAACUUGUGCUAAUACCGAAUGUGCCCUUCGGGGGCAAGAUUUAUCGCCUCUAGAGCGGCCCGCGUCUGAUUAGCUAGUUGGUUGAGGUAAUGGCUCACCAAGGCGACGAUCAGUAGCUGGUCUGAGAGGAUGAUCAGCCACAUUGGGACUGAGACACGGCCCAAACUCCUACGGGAGGCAGCAGUGGGGACUCUUGCGCAAUGGGCGAAAGCAUGACGCAGCCAUGCCGCGUGAAUGAUGAAGGUCUUAGGAUUGUAAAAUUCUUUCACCGGGGACGAUAAUGACGGUACCCGGAGAAGAAGCCCCGGCUAACUUCGUG